AGAGUUUGAUCCUGGCUCAGGACGAACGCUGGCGGCGUGCCUAAUACAUGCAAGUAGAACGCUGAAGAGAGGAGCUUGCUCUUCUUGGAUGAGUUGUGAACGGGUGAGUAACGCGUAGGUAACCUGCCUUGUAGCGGGGGAUAACUAUUGGAAACGAUAGCUAAUACCGCAUAACAAUGGAUGACACAUGUCAUUUAUUUGAAAGGGGCAAUUGCUCCACUACAAGAUGGACCUGCGUUGUAUUAGCUAGUAGGUGAGGUAAUGGCUCACCUAGGCGACGAUACAUAGCCGACCUGAGAGGGUGAUCGGCCACACUGGGACUGAGACACGGCCCAGACUCCUACGGGAGGCAGCAGUAGGGAAUCUUCGGCAAUGGGGGCAACCCUGACCGAGCAACGCCGCGUGAGUGAAGAAGGUUUUCGGAUCGUAAAGCUCUGUUGUAAGUCAAGAACGGGUGUGAGAGUGGAAAGUUCACACUGUGACGGUAGCUUACCAGAAAGGGACGGCUAACUACGUGCCAGCAGCCGCGGUAAUACGUAGGUCCCGAGCGUUGUCCGGAUUUAUUGGGCGUAAAGCGAGCGCGGGCGGUUUGAUAAGUCUGAAGUUAAAGGCUGUGGCUCAACCAUAGUUCGCUUUGGAAACUGUCAAACUUGAGUGCAGAAGGGGAGAGUGGAAUUCCAUGUGUAGCGGUGAAAUGCGUAGAUAUAUGGAGGAACACCGGUGGCGAAAGCGGCUCUCUGGUCUGUAACUGACGCUGAGGCUCGAAAGCGUGGGGAGCGAACAGGAUUAGAUACCCUGGUAGUCCACGCCGUAAACGAUGAGUGCUAGGUGUUGGAUCCUUUCCGGGAUUCAGUGCCGCAGCUAACGCAUUAAGCACUCCGCCUGGGGAGUACGACCGCAAGGUUGAAACUCAAAGGAAUUGACGGGGGCCCGCACAAGCGGUGGAGCAUGUGGUUAAUUCGAAGCAACGCGAAGAACCUUACCAGGUCUUGACAUCCCGAUGCUAUUUCUAGAGAUAGAAAGUUACUUCGGUACAUCGGUGACAGGUGGUGCAUGGUUGUCGUCAGCUCGUGUCGUGAGAUGUUGGGUUAAGUCCCGCAACGAGCGCAACCCCUAUUGUUAGUUGCCAUCAUUCAGUUGGGCACUCUAGCGAGACUGCCGGUAAUAAACCGGAGGAAGGUGGGGAUGACGUCAAAUCAUCAUGCCCCUUAUGACCUGGGCUACACACGUGCUACAAUGGUUGGUACAACGAGUUGCGAGUCGGUGACGGCGAGCUAAUCUCUUAAAGCCAAUCUCAGUUCGGAUUGUAGGCUGCAACUCGCCUACAUGAAGUCGGAAUCGCUAGUAAUCGCGGAUCAGCACGCCGCGGUGAAUACGUUCCCGGGCCUUGUACACACCGCCCGUCACACCACGAGAGUUUGUAACACCCGAAGUCGGUGAGGUAACCUUUUGGAGCCAGCCGCCUAAGGUGGGACAGAUGAUUGGGGUGAAGUCGUAACAAGGUA
Molecule: ribosomal RNA, 1505 nt
Filed under: metagenome
Description: bacterial SSU rRNA
Rfam family: Bacterial small subunit ribosomal RNA
Source: RNAcentral